CAGAUUUCCAAUCCAAGUCCUGGAACUGUUGGCUGGAGGUGGCGCUGGUGCAGGCCCUCAGAAAACGUGGCGUCACGAGCCACCUGAUGUCAUGCACGCUGUCAGUGCAGCUUCCAGUCAGUGCUGUCAGAGACCUCCACCUGCUGGGCAAAGAGACAAAUGCGACAAGCUUGUAGCAGGUUUGACAGCCUUGGAUUCGUCACUGGACCAGGAGCAGCUUGGCCUGUUGGUGCUGAUGAUGCUCAGUGUUGC
Molecule: long non-coding RNA, 252 nt
Organism: Hippocampus comes (tiger tail seahorse)
Lineage: Eukaryota; Metazoa; Chordata; Actinopteri; Syngnathiformes; Syngnathidae
Exons: 3
Source: RefSeq, a predicted model, not a curated record